UGUCAAUUAAAACAUCAAUUCAUACAAGUUUGGCUACGGCUUUCAAUCCUAGCCCCAACAAAGUAACUACUCACUCAUAAUCAUACAAAUUGGCAUCAAAUCUAUAAAGUAAAUCAAGGUAAAUUAAAGAGUUAAGGGAAGAAAGAACUAGUUGAAGCUUGACAAAUUAAUGGGUAGCUUCUCCUUCAUUUUUCUCCUUCAAUGCUCCUUGAAUCCUCCUUGAUUGUGGAAUGGAUGGAUAUGAACUUCUUGAUGGUGAUGAUGAAUGAAAUGGUGAUGAAGACAUGAUGCUCCUUUGGCUAACUUUGAGUGGUGGUGAUGAAGUUUAUGAUUAGGUAUUGUGGGUUUGGAUUUUGG
Molecule: long non-coding RNA, 357 nt
Filed under: Rosa chinensis
Lineage: Eukaryota; Viridiplantae; Streptophyta; Magnoliopsida; Rosales; Rosaceae
Description: sRNA RchiOBHm_Chr1g0352501
Source: RNAcentral